CAGAGGGUGAGAUGCUGAGGGGGAGAAACAGACAUUUAGAGGAUGGCCAAAAGAGAAAUUUGCAGAAUAAUAAAAAUGGGUUCUUCAAAGAAUGGAACAACAAGAUAUUUUUUCAAGAUGAUUAAUUAGCAGUUUAAAGACUGCUCAUAGCUUCAGUCUAGAGGUAGAAAGGAUGCUGGAAUAGGAGGCCGGAAUGGGGUGGGAAUAAUUAUUAAUUUUCAAAGUCUUUUCAUAUAAGUUAUUGUAAUGAUAUGAUAUUCCGCAACUAAAGUUUAAUGUUUUCUAAUUUCGCUUGUAAUAAAAUCUCUUGAAUAAUGUUUUAUACAUUUUUUGUAUCCUUUAAAAUCAA
Non-coding RNA from Corylus avellana, 349 nucleotides. NCBI's taxonomy places the organism in Eukaryota, Viridiplantae, Streptophyta, Magnoliopsida, Fagales, Betulaceae. The record is from RefSeq and is a predicted model, not a curated record.